This 120-nucleotide ribosomal RNA is filed under the name Wigglesworthia glossinidia endosymbiont of Glossina morsitans morsitans (Yale colony). Lineage: Bacteria; Pseudomonadati; Pseudomonadota; Gammaproteobacteria; Enterobacterales; Erwiniaceae. The record is from RNAcentral.
AUCCUGACGAUGUGAGCGCGAUAGAACCACCUGAAUCCAUUCCGAACUCAGAAGUGAAAUGUCGUAGUACCGAUGGUAGUGUAAGGCUUCCUUAUGUGAGAGUAGGAGAUCGUCAGGAAA